GAAUCCACUGGGCGUAAAGGGUGGCGUAGGCGGUUUGGAAAGUCAGAUGUGAAAGCCUACAGCUAACUGUAGAACUGCAUUGAAACUUCCAGACUAGAAUACUGAAGGGGCAGAUGGAAUUAGUGGUGUAGGGGUAAAAUCCGUAGAUAUCACUAGGAAUACCGAAAGCGAAAGCGAUCUGCUGGGAAGUUAUUGACGCUGAGGCACGAAAGCGUGGGGAGCAAACGGGAUUAGAUACCCCGGUAGUCCACGCCCUAAACGAUGAAUGCUAGUCGUCGGAAAGCUCGUCUUUUCGGUGAUGCAGUUAACACAUUAAGCAUUCCGCCUGGGGAGUACGGUCGCAAGAUUAAAACUCAAAGGAAUAGACGGGGACCCGCACAAGUGGUGGAGCAUGUGGUUUAAUUCGAAGAUACGCGAAGAACCUUACCUAGCCUUGACAUUGAUAGAACAUUCUAGAGAUAGAGUGGUGCCUUUUCGGAGGAACUUGAAAACAGGUGCUGCACGGCUGUCGUCAGCUCGUGUCGUGAGAUGUUGGGUUAAGUCCCGCAACGAGCGCAACCCUCGUCGUUAGUUGCUAACAGUUCGGCUGAGCACUCUAGCGAGACUGCCUUCGCAAGGAGGAGGAAGGUGAGGACGACGUCAAGUCAUCAUGGCCCUUAUGGCUAGGGCUACACACGUGCUACAAUGGGGCGUACAGAGAGUUGCGAUACCGCGAGGUGGAGCUAAUCUCAUAAAGCGUCUCUCAGUUCGGAUUGUUCUCUGCAACUCGAGAGCAUGAAGCUGGAAUCACUAGUAAUCGUAGAUCAGCAAUGCUACGGUGAAUACGUUCCCGGGUCUUGUACUCACCGCCCGUCACACCAUGGGAGUUGAUUUCACCCGAAAUCGGGAAGCCAACCUUCGGGGGGCUACCGCUUACGGUGGAAUUAGCGACUGGGGUGAAGUCGUAACAAGGUAACC
Molecule: ribosomal RNA, 957 nt
Filed under: uncultured bacterium
Lineage: Bacteria
Description: bacterial SSU rRNA
Rfam family: Bacterial small subunit ribosomal RNA
Source: RNAcentral